This 363-nucleotide long non-coding RNA is filed under the name Fragaria vesca (wild strawberry). RNAcentral's name for it is "long non-coding RNA (FVES_LNC003452)". Lineage: Eukaryota; Viridiplantae; Streptophyta; Magnoliopsida; Rosales; Rosaceae. The record is from RNAcentral.
AUCUUUUGAAUUAAAUUACUAUUUUCGAAAUUAUGGGUAAUUAACAGAGUUAACACUUUGUUAGAUGACUUGGAUAGAGUCACAGGGAAGGAGCCAGAAGAUGAUCGAUCCUUAUAAUAUCUCAGUAGAUCUUAUAAAUUAAGAGCUUGCUUUAUCAAGAAUCAACCAAAUAGCUAGAAUUUAAAAUUUAGGAUUAAUUUCAGUUUAUCUUUCUAGGUUUGUGGUUAACAUCAUUGCAGUCUAUAUACUCUUAAUUUGGAAAAUUUACCCUCUAAAGUUUACAAUUUUUAUAAAUCAUACAUGCUCAAUUGUUGAAAUUUCAUCCAAUUUGGACGUUAACGGUGUGUUUGGAUGCGAAUGAAU